RNAcentral lists this small nucleolar RNA (99 nucleotides) under Spinacia oleracea (spinach). RNAcentral's name for it is "Plant small nucleolar RNA R71". It matches the Rfam family "Plant small nucleolar RNA R71". Rfam says of the family: R71 is a member of the C/D box family of snoRNAs containing the C (UGAUGA) and D (CUGA) box motifs. Multiple nearly identical copies of this snoRNA have been identified in Arabidopsis, and it is thought to function as a 2'-O-ribose methylation guide for 18S ribosomal RNA. The record is from Rfam by way of RNAcentral. Lineage: Eukaryota; Viridiplantae; Streptophyta; Magnoliopsida; Caryophyllales; Amaranthaceae.
AAACCGUGGUGUGGGCACUGUCUCUGCAGAUCCUUGAACCUUUCCCGGGCUUCAAACAAGCUCUCGUCUGCCUGUUGGGUAAUGGAAUUAUCUGACCCC